Molecule: ribosomal RNA, 560 nt
Filed under: Salmonella enterica
Lineage: Bacteria; Pseudomonadati; Pseudomonadota; Gammaproteobacteria; Enterobacterales; Enterobacteriaceae
Description: partial 23S ribosomal RNA
Rfam family: Bacterial large subunit ribosomal RNA
Source: RNAcentral
UAUAUUCUGUAGCAAGGUUAACCGAAUAGGGGAGCCGGAGGGAAACCGAGUCUUAACCGGGCGUUAAGUUGCAGGGUAUAGACCCGAAACCCGGUGAUCUAGCCAUGGGCAGGUUGAAGGUUGGGUAACACUAACUGGAGGACCGAACCGACUAAUGUUGAAAAAUUAGCGGAUGACCUGUGGCUGGGGGUGAAAGGCCAAUCAAACCGGGAGAUAGCUGGUUCUCCCCGAAAGCUAUUUAGGUAGCGCCUCGUGAAUUCAUCUCCGGGGGUAGAGCACUGUUUCGGCUAGGGGGCCAUCCCGGCUUACCAACCCGAUGCAAACUGCGAAUACCGGAGAAUGUUAUCACGGGAGACACACGGCGGGUGCUAACGUCCGUCGUGAAGAGGGAAACAACCCAGACCGCCAGCUAAGGUCCCAAAGUCAUGGUUAAGUGGGAAACGAUGUGGGAAGGCCCAGACAGCCAGGAUGUUGGCUUAGAAGCAGCCAUCAUUUAAAGAAAGCGUAAUAGCUCACUGGUCGAGUCGGCCUGCGCGGAAGAUGUAACGGGGCUAAACCAU